GACGAACGCUGGCGGCGUGCUUAACACAUGCAAGUCGAACGGAAAGGCCCUGCUUGCAGGGUACUCGAGUGGCGAACGGGUGAGUAACACGUGGGUGAUCUGCCCUGCACUUCGGGAUAAGCCUGGGAAACUGGGUCUAAUACCGGAUAGGAGCCAUUUUUAGUGUGAUGGUUGGAAAGUUUUUUCGGUGUAGGAUGAGCUCGCGGCCUAUCAGCUUGUUGGUGGGGUAAUGGCCUACCAAGGCGGCGACGGGUAGCCGGCCUGAGAGGGUGGACGGCCACAAUGGGACUGAGGGACGGCCCAGACGCCUACGGGAGGCAGCAGUGGGGAAUAUUGCACAAUGGGCGCAAGCCUGAUGCAGCGACGCCGCGGGGGGGAUGACGGCCUUCGGGUUGUAAACUCCUUUCGCUAGGGACGAAGCUUUUUGUGACGGUACCUAGAUAAGAAGCACCGGCUAACUACGUG
RNAcentral lists this ribosomal RNA (465 nucleotides) under uncultured bacterium. RNAcentral's name for it is "partial 16S ribosomal RNA". It matches the Rfam family "Bacterial small subunit ribosomal RNA", at positions 28 to 507 of the family's 1533-position model. The record is from RNAcentral.